UAGUCUCGCACAGAUGCAUAUCAAUAAGCGGAGGAAAAGAAACUAACAAGGAUUCCCUUAGUAACGGCGAGUGAAGCGGGAAGAGCUCAAAUUUGAAAUCUUCAAGGUUUUACCUUGACGAAUUGUAGUUUAAAGAAGUGUUUUCUGUUGAAGUUUUGGUAAAAGUUCUUUGGAAUAGGACAUCACAGAGGGUGAGAAUCCCGUAUUUGACCAUUAUUUUCAGCUGUGUGAUACACUUUCAAAGAGUCGGAUUGUUUGGGAAUGCAGUCCAAAAUGGGUGGUAAAUUUCAUCUAAAGCUAAAUAUUGGCGAGAGACCGAUAGCGAACAAGUACCGUGAGGGAAAGAUGAAAAGAACUUUGAAAAGAGAGUUAAACAGUACGUGAAAUUGUCAAAAGGGAAGCGUUUGACACCAGUGUUGUUUUCUCGAAAAUCAAUUAAAAAGAGUUAGAUUUUGUUGUGUAUUGACCUUAACAGCUUGCAUUUCAAUUUUCUUGCUUUUUUUAAUGCACUUUUCGUUUAACAAGUCAACAUCAGUUUCUUUUGUUGUAAAAAGGUCAUUGGAAGGUGGCUUUCUUUUCGGAGAAAGUGUUUAUAGCCUUUGACUCCUGCAAUCGGAGAGAUUGAGGUCUGCAGCGUAGAUCCUUCGGGGUUAGAUACAUUUGUGCUAAGUUAUAGCUUUUUAUAGACAACUUGUUGACUAUGAUUAGUCUUGUAGCUUACUCGCUUAUGCUAUUUUACCUACGCUUAGGAUGUUGAGCGCAUGUCUCUCUCU
Molecule: ribosomal RNA, 773 nt
Filed under: uncultured Neocallimastigales
Lineage: Eukaryota; Fungi; Neocallimastigomycota; Neocallimastigomycetes; Neocallimastigales
Description: partial large subunit ribosomal RNA
Rfam family: Eukaryotic large subunit ribosomal RNA
Source: RNAcentral